CAGCCGCCGCGGUAAAACGGAGGGUGCAAGCGUUAAUCGGAAUUACUGGGCGUAAAGCGCACGCAGGCGGUCUGUCAAGUCGGAUGUGAAAUCCCCGGGCUCAACCUGGGAACUGCAUUCGAAACUGGCAGGCUAGAGUCUUGUAGAGGGGGGUAGAAUUCCAGGUGUAGCGGUGAAAUGCGUAGAGAUCUGGAGGAAUACCGGUGGCGAAGGCGGCCCCCUGGACAAAGACUGACGCUCAGGUGCGAAAGCGUGGGGAGCAAACAGGAUUAGAUACCCCAGUAGUCCCUGUCUCUUAUAA
Molecule: ribosomal RNA, 301 nt
Filed under: uncultured bacterium
Lineage: Bacteria
Description: partial 16S ribosomal RNA
Rfam family: Bacterial small subunit ribosomal RNA
Source: RNAcentral